UUCGUGUCUGCCCUUCCAUUAUGUGACUCAAGAAAAAAUUCCAAAAAAUGGGUAACAAUUGUAUCGAAAAGAGAAAAUCGAGUGCACCUUUUUAUGUUAGGGCGUGUUUGAGUUGAAUAUUUUGUCUUGAUAUCGUACAAAGCAAGAAUAUUUCAUACAUCGUCUCGCUUCAGAUUCUAUCAUUUUUAUAUAUCAAAGCUACAGGUUGACUUCAUAAC
RNAcentral lists this long non-coding RNA (218 nucleotides) under Mytilus galloprovincialis (Mediterranean mussel). Lineage: Eukaryota; Metazoa; Mollusca; Bivalvia; Mytilida; Mytilidae. The record is from RNAcentral.